AGCUUUAUAUUCUAUGUUUAGGAUGUUAAAUUGCAAGUUUGAUGGUGUUAUUGUUGACUAAAGCUU
RNAcentral lists this transfer RNA (66 nucleotides) under Brachyrhynchus hsiaoi. RNAcentral's name for it is "tRNA-Cys". The record is from RNAcentral. Lineage: Eukaryota; Metazoa; Arthropoda; Insecta; Hemiptera; Aradidae.